Molecule: ribosomal RNA, 793 nt
Filed under: uncultured Moraxella sp.
Lineage: Bacteria; Pseudomonadati; Pseudomonadota; Gammaproteobacteria; Moraxellales; Moraxellaceae
Description: bacterial SSU rRNA
Rfam family: Bacterial small subunit ribosomal RNA
Source: RNAcentral
GGGCGUAAAGCGAGUGUAGGUGGCUCAUUAAGUCACAUGUGAAAUCCCCGGGCUUAACCUGGGAACUGCAUGUGAUACUGGUGGUGCUAGAAUAUGUGAGAGGGAAGUAGAAUUCCAGGUGUAGCGGUGAAAUGCGUAGAGAUCUGGAGGAAUACCGAUGGCGAAGGCAGCUUCCUGGCAUAAUAUUGACACUGAGAUUCGAAAGCGUGGGUAGCAAACAGGAUUAGAUACCCUGGUAGUCCACGCCGUAAACGGAUGUCUACUAGCCGUUGGGGUCCUUGAGACCUUUUAGUGGCGCAGUUAACGCGAUAAGUAGACCGACUGGGGAGUACGGCCGCAAGGUUAAAACUCAAAUGAAUUGACGGGGGCCCGCACAAGCGGUGGAGCAUGUGGUUUAAUUCGAUGCAACGCGAAGAACCUUACCUGGUCUUGACAUAGUGAGAAUCUCUCAGAGAUGAGAGAGUGCCUUCGGGAACUCACAUACAGGUGCUGCAUGGCUGUCGUCAGCUCGUGUCGUGAGAUGUUGGGUUAAGUCCCGCAACGAGCGCAACCCUUUUCCUUAUUUGCCAGCGGGUUAAGCCGGGAACUUUAAGGAUACUGCCAGUGACAAAUUGGAGGAAGGACGGGGACGACGUCAAGUCAUCAUGGCCCUUACGACCAGGGCUACACACGUGCUACAAUGGUAGGUACAGAGGGUUGCUACACAGCGAUGUGAUGCUAAUCUCAAAAAGCCUAUCGUAGUCCGGAUUGGAGUCUGCAACUCGACUCCAUGAAGUCGGAAUCGCUAGUAAUC